CUUAAACAAUGUCUACACUGUAUUUCUGAUCAAUUUGAUGUUAUUUUAAUGGACAAAAUGUUUUUCCUUUUCUUUCAAAAACAAGGACAUUUCUAAGUGUCCCCAAACUGUUGAACAGUAGUGUAACUAAACCAAAAUGGAACAUGCAGAAAAUACAUUUCUGAAGCAACAAAAUGAUACCUUGUUCACCCCCCCUCAAUAACCCAUAACGAAAAAGCCAAAACUGGUUUAGACAUUAAUUUAUUCAAAAUAAAAAACAGAAAUAACACAAUUACAUUAAGUAUUCAGACCCUUUUCUCAGUACUUUAUUGAAGCACCUUUGGCAGUGAUUACAGCCUCGAGUCUUCUUGGGUAUGACGCUACAAGCUUGGCACAUCUGUAUUUGGGGAGUUUCUCCCAUUCUUCGCUGCAGGUCCUUUCAAGCUCUGUCAGGUUGGAUGGGGAGUGUCGCUGCACAGCUAUUUUCAGGUCUCUCCAGAGAUGUUAGAUCGGAUUCAAGUCCGGGCUCUGACUGGGCCACUCAAGGACAUUCAGAGACUUGUCCGAAGGCCACUCCUGUGUUGUCUUGGUUGUGUGCUUAGGGUCGUUGUCCUGUUGGAAGGUGAACCUUCACCCCAGUCUGCGGUUCUGAGCGCUCUGGAACAGCUAGUACAGCCCCUAGUACCUUAGGUAGUACAGUAUAGCCUCAGCUAGUCCAGCCCCUAGUCCAGCAGGUAGUACAGUAUAGCCUCAGCUAGUCCAGCAGGUAGUCCAGUAUAGCCUCAGCUAGUCCAGCUCCUAGUCCAGCAGGUAGUACAGUAUAGCCUCAGCUAGUCCAGCAGGUAGUCCAGCAGGUAGUACAGUAUAGCCUCAGCUAGUCCAGCAGGUAGUACUGUAUAGCCUCAGCUAGUCAGCCCCUAGUCCAGUAUAGCCUCAGCUAGUCAGCCCCUAGUCCAGCAGGUAGUUGGUUUUGAGAGAGAGCCUUGACAGAAUGAUAACCACGCCACAGAACUGUAUACAUUUAUCAAUGAUACAUGUUCCAACUCGGGUCCCUUGACACAGAGGCAAGUACGCUAACCCCAAGAUAGACAACUCUAGAGCUUCUCCCUAACCCUUAACCCUAACCGCUUAACCCUAACCCCAAGAUAGACAACUCUAGAGCUUCUCCCUAACCCUUAACCCUAACCCCAAGAUAGACAACUCUAGAGCUAACCCUAAACCUUAACCCUAACCCCAAGAUAGACAACUCUAGAGCUUCUCCCUAACCCUAACCCUUAACCCUAACCCUUAACCCUAACCCCAAGAUAGACAACUCUAGAGCUACUCCCUAACCCUUAACCCCUAACCCCUAACCCUUAACCCUAACCCCAAGAUAGACAACUCUAGAGCUAACCCUAACCCUUAACCCUAACCCCUAACCCUAACCCCUAACCCCAAGAUAGACAACUCUAGAGCUAACCCUAACCCUUAACCCCCCUAACCCCUAACCCUAACCCCUAACCCCAAGAUAGACAACUCUAGAGCUUCUGAAAGGUUGUUCUAGUGUGGAUAUGAAUGGAGGCUAUGGUCAUAACAGAGAACAGAAAAACAUGGAUGUCUGAGAGUAGUUGUUCUGCUGGUCAGGGAAGGCAAUAGAUUGUAUAGUUAUCUUCUGAUCAGGGUAAAAUCACUACCCCACAACAAUACAAUCUACUACCUCACAACGCCUCAGCAGAUAGACAAUGACUUCAUAAUGUUGACGAUGUACCUUGAUGAUUUCUUCCUGUUCGUUCUCAAAACACCACAGCAAAUACGAUCAGAAUAGAAUCUUUUACAAUGACCAUAAGAGGAGAUUGACUGUAGUAUCCUUGGUGAUUGACACAUUGAGAAAGACAGUAGGUUGUACAGUUAUCUCCCAGUGUGGGUGUGACCCUAAAACUAUCCAACCUACUACCUCAUCCCACUGAGCUGAGGAACCUGGAGAGGAACCUGGAGAGGAACCUGGAGAGGAACCUGGAGAGGAACCUGGUCUGAUCCACCUCACAGCAUC
RNAcentral lists this long non-coding RNA (2008 nucleotides) under Salmo salar (Atlantic salmon). RNAcentral's name for it is "lncRNA (ENSSSAG00000116651.1)". The record is from RNAcentral. Lineage: Eukaryota; Metazoa; Chordata; Actinopteri; Salmoniformes; Salmonidae.